Molecule: transfer RNA, 71 nt
Filed under: Loxodonta africana (African savanna elephant)
Lineage: Eukaryota; Metazoa; Chordata; Mammalia; Proboscidea; Elephantidae
Rfam family: tRNA
About the family: Transfer RNA (tRNA) molecules are approximately 80 nucleotides in length. Their secondary structure includes four short double-helical elements and three loops (D, anti-codon, and T loops). Further hydrogen bonds mediate the characteristic L-shaped molecular structure. tRNAs have two regions of fundamental functional importance: the anti-codon, which is responsible for specific mRNA codon recognition, and the 3' end, to which the tRNAs corresponding amino acid is attached (by aminoacyl-tRNA synthetases). tRNAs cope with the degeneracy of the genetic code in two manners: having more than one tRNA (with a specific anti-codon) for a particular amino acid; and 'wobble' base-pairing, i.e. permitting non-standard base-pairing at the 3rd anti-codon position.
Source: Rfam by way of RNAcentral
GCAGUGGUGGUUCAGUGGUAGGAUUCCCGCCCUCCAUGCUGGAGACCCAGGUUCAAUUCCUGGCCCAGGCA